RNAcentral lists this long non-coding RNA (280 nucleotides) under Jatropha curcas. RNAcentral describes it as "long non-coding RNA (JCUR_LNC000605)". Lineage: Eukaryota; Viridiplantae; Streptophyta; Magnoliopsida; Malpighiales; Euphorbiaceae. The record is from RNAcentral.
UGGGAGGACGGCUCAUCGGGGGUUCGGUGACUCCACUGACUAAUUUCCACGUGAUGUGAUUAUAUGAAGAUGUUAAUGAUUGUGAGUGCUGGUGAUUUGCCAUUUGUGUGACUGGCUGCGUGAGCAUAUAACUAGUCGGACGACUAGAUUAAUAUGUUUACACAUUUGUGUGACUGCGUGUGUGGUGCAAAAAUUAUUACUCCUUAGAAAACUCACAUAUCUUGUUUGAUUUUUCAGGAAGUAGGUUUUUCCUUUAAUCCGAUUUAGGCUAUGUUUCUUC